Molecule: ribosomal RNA, 727 nt
Filed under: Oenococcus oeni
Lineage: Bacteria; Bacillati; Bacillota; Bacilli; Lactobacillales; Lactobacillaceae
Description: bacterial LSU rRNA
Rfam family: Bacterial large subunit ribosomal RNA
Source: RNAcentral
GCUUGCUUGUUGGGGUUGUAGGACACUCUAUACGGAGUUACAAAAGUAUAUAUUAGACGAAUCAUCUGGAAAGUUGAAUCAAAGAAGGUAAUAAUCCUGUAGUCGAAAAUAUAUACUCUCUUGAGUGGAUCCUGAGUACGACGGAGCACGUGAAAUUCCGUCGGAAUCUGGGAGGACCAUCUCCUAAGGCUAAAUACUCUCUAGUGACCGAUAGUGAACCAGUACCGUGAGGGAAAGGUGAAAAGUACCCCGGAAGGGGAGUGAAAGAGAACUUGAAACCGUGUGUUUACAAGUAGUCAGAGCCCGUUAAUGGGUGAUGGCGUGCCUUUUGUAGAAUGAACCGGCGAGUUACGAUUUGAUGCAAGGUUAAGCAGCUAAUGUGGAGCCGUAGCGAAAGCGAGUCUGAAUAGGGCGUUUAGUAUUUGGUCGUAGACCCGAAACCAGGUGAUCUACCCUUGGUCAGGUUGAAGUUCAGGUAACACUGAAUGGAGGACCGAACCGACUUACGUUGAAAAGUGAGCGGAUGAACUGAGGGUAGCGGAGAAAUUCCAAUCGAACUUGGAGAUAGCUGGUUCUCUCCGAAAUAGCUUUAGGGCUAGCCUCAAGUGAUGAUUAUUGGAGGUAGAGCACUGUUUGGACGAGGGGCCCUUCUCGGGUUACCGAAUUCAGACAAACUCCGAAUGCCAAUCAAUUUAACUUGGGAGUCAGAACAUGGGUGAUAAGGUCC